UUUUUUUUUUUUUUUUUUUUUCCUGCAUAAUUUCAGGAUUUUAGUUAAUGCUAAUUGCUAUCUAGGAAAACAAAAAUUAGGAUUUUUUUAAUUGAUUUAUUAAGGUCAUAGUUGGUUCGUGAUACAGUGACACUAUUUUAAUAUAAAUUACUAUGGUCACUUAACAGUUGCGAAAAAAGUGAAAAUACUAACCUGUUGAAUUGGGAAUUUAAUAAGCAAGUCAAGGUUUGGAGGAGCUUUAUUCGAAGGCUGCAUUUGGACAAGUGGGUCAAAGAAAAUAGAUGUCCGGUCUAACGUUAGUUUAAAGCAGACAAUCCAAAAGUCAAAAUAAAAAGUUAAAAUGACUACUAUACCCUUUAUCUUAUCUAUUUUUUUUUUCUUGUUUAAAAUAUUUAUUGAAGAAAAUAGCAGAAAUAGUAAAAGUAAAAUAAUAAUUGAUUAAGACAUAUGAACAAAUGCUUUCAGAAUUAUUAUUAAUUUUUAAAAUUUUGUAACCAUAUGUGAGAAAGGAAAUAUUGAUUUCAUAUUUUUUAAAAUUUUUACAAAUUUUAGUUUUUUAAUUGUCUUUAAUUUUAAUAACUUUAAUUGAUUUUAAUUAUAAUUUGUUAUUUGCAAAUUUUAAAAAGUAAAUGCUAUUUAAACUUCAUUUAAUUACGUAAAGUCACUCUUGUAAGGCUAGGAGAUGGUCGUCCAUCACUUUUUGGAAGGACAAGAAAUUACAGUUUGGACAAGACAAAAUCAUCUUCUUUUAUCGUCCUAAUGUGCGCCAAACAGAAGACAAUCAGGAUAUGUCUUAUCCUGUUCUGUCAUUUAUAGCAAAUGCAUUAAGAAUGAGUUGAAUUUAUUAUGUGUGCAUGAUUUUGAGAAGCAUGUUCUAAGACAAUUUUUAUUUCAGCAUUUAUGUUCCAAAAGCUUCUUUUAUGUGCUUCACUUUGCUAUAUUGUAAUUUGAAACACAAUCUUUUCUUCUCUUUUAAUAAGCAUCUUGAUUGUUUAAGAUUAAGUAAGUGGACUCUAAAAAUAGUACUGUGUUUGAGUUCUUAAUUUUGAAGCUGAUAUGAUUACAAAUUUAACUAGAAUUGGAGAGAUUGUGAAAAUGUAUUAAACUUUGUAUAGGAAAAAUAUGAAUAAUGCAUAUGGUUUAUUUUUUAAUGAAAAGUUUGAUGUUCUAUUGCAAAUAUUAUGAUUAUAAAACCAUAUAUGAUCAUGUGGAUAGAAGUACACCAAAUCUUUUUGACCACUGUUAUGACAUUGGAAAUGCAUUCGGUUAACAUUCUCUUUAUUGCAGGUGCUCUCAUACUUUGCUGUUGUGAUGGUUUUGAUAUUUCCCUUUGAUAUUUUUCAUUUGUCAUCCGGCUACUACUUGUUAAGGACUCUUUGGCGGAUAGUUUUUCCACUACAGGCAAUUACAUUUUCUGACUUUUUUUUUGGCUGAUAUUUUGACCUCCAUGUCAAAGGUAUGCAUCCUAUUAUCUAACUGUGACCAUUUUGUUUGUUAAUGCAUACUCAUGCAUGUGAAAUUGUAAAUACAAUUGUGUAUCAUUCUCCUAUCCUUUUUGAAUAUAUAAACCUUGUGUGACAGUAACAUUAACUCUUCUGUAACUCAAAAUUAAAAUUCUUGGUUCCUUCUAUAAAAAAUUAAAAUACUUGGUUCCUUCUAUAAACAUAUAGACAAUUCUAGCUGUUGCCUUCUGAUGUCCAAAACGGAAGUUUUUUUUCACUGCAUUUUCAACUGGGUAAUGAUUCUAGUUGUUGAACCAUUUUUAUAGGUUCAAAAAUUCUUUUAUAUUCAUAGCUCCUUAAUGCUGGAAAAUCAGCCUUUGAAGCGUAUGAUAACAUGCAAAUAAGGUUGCCAUGUGGUAUCUGUGACGAACACAAAUUUUUUUUAUUCCUUUUUCUUCUUGAAGUCAACUAUAUGCUUUUCAAUGCCUCAUCUCUGUAUCACAGUUCACUUUUCACAGUUGUAUUAAUUAGAAGGCUCAUUGGAGAGAUUAUUAUAAAAUAAGCUUUAACUAUUAAUUGUAAUUUAACAACUAUUAAUUUUUCAUUUCAAGGUGAGAAAUCAGGAGAUGGUUCUUGAUAUUCUUAUAAAUGUCAAUUCUGUGCAGGUAUUUUCAGAUUUGGAGCGCUCUGCAUGUAGAAUGGUCCAUCGACAGGUUGCCACCAUUGCAUGGUUUGAAGCUGAUUCUGUUUGUGGCAGUCACUCCAUUGCGAUUCCUUUAGUCCUUGUUUCACAUUACUGUUUUCGAUUGUUCCAAUGCCUUCGACAAUACAAGGAAACUAGGGAGAAAACAGCUCUUUUUAAUGGUACAUGUGCUUUGAAAUUCUCCCUCCUCCCUCCUUCCACAUAUUAAAACAUCUUUUCCUUCACUUUUUUAAAAGACAUUAUAGACAUUGCAAAAUUUGUUUCCUCCAUGCAAAAAUAGUACUAUGAUCUAUUGCUAUUCAUCAUUUAGCUUCGGUGCACCAACUGGAAUGACCUGUAAUGAUCCAUUGCUAUCUUUACACUGAGAAUGACUUGUUGGGUUCAGUUUCUGAUAAUGACUAUUGCUCCACCUCCUCUCAAGGAUUGUCAUUUUGUCACUCUGAUACAACUUUUUGUUCUCGUUUUUAAUUUUUUUCAAAAUUCCCAUUUAUUAAUUUAUUGUCAAGUGUUACAAGCUAUGAUCACCCCCUCCUCUGUUCGGUCCCAUAUUUGGGUUUUGCGCACAGAUGGUCUUUAUUGCCUGUAAACUGCAAUAACUUCAUUUUCUAAUGGUUUCA
RNAcentral lists this unclassified non-coding RNA (2762 nucleotides) under Hevea brasiliensis (rubber tree). Lineage: Eukaryota; Viridiplantae; Streptophyta; Magnoliopsida; Malpighiales; Euphorbiaceae. The record is from RNAcentral.